Centropristis striata (black sea bass) is the source of this 300-nucleotide long non-coding RNA. RefSeq lists it as uncharacterized. The transcript is spliced from 3 exons. The record is from RefSeq and is a predicted model, not a curated record. Lineage: Eukaryota; Metazoa; Chordata; Actinopteri; Perciformes; Serranidae.
AUUUCCCCAUCACCCAUGUUGACGCUUUACUGCAAGUCACAAAGGCAAUGUUUAAAUCUAUCACACCAUGCAUUUGGACAGAAGGCAGGGAAACACCCUGGACGGUGCUUCAUAACCUUUUUAAAAUCUGGAUAAGGUGACACCAGUUAUGAUGAUGGAUUGGAGAACACCAUCUGAUAUCGUUCUCAAAACAAGCUCUGUGACCUAAACAGGAGGACUGCUCCUGCGCGGUGUCCAGAGAUUUCAGUAUAAAAGAAGCACUUCCAGGCUCAGCAGAAGUGUUGGACUGACAGGCUGCCA